AUUGAACGCUGGCGGCAUGCCUUACACAUGCAAGUCGAACGGCAGCACGGGAGCAAUCCUGGUGGCGAGUGGCGAACGGGUGAGUAAUGUAUCGGAACGUACCUUUCAGUGGGGGAUAACGUAGCGAAAGUUACGCUAAUACCGCAUAUUCUGUGAGCAGGAAAGCAGGGGAUCGCAAGACCUUGCGCUGAUUGAGCGGCCGAUAUCAGAUUAGCUAGUUGGUGAGGUAAAGGCUCACCAAGGCGACGAUCUGUAGCGGGUCUGAGAGGAUGACCCGCCACACUGGAACUGAGACACGGUCCAGACUCCUACGGGAGGCAGCAGUGGGGAAUUUUGGACAAUGGGCGCAAGCCUGAUCCAGCCAUGCCGCGUGAGUGAAGAAGGCCUCGGUUGUAAG
RNAcentral lists this ribosomal RNA (397 nucleotides) under uncultured bacterium. RNAcentral describes it as "bacterial SSU rRNA". It matches the Rfam family "Bacterial small subunit ribosomal RNA", at positions 30 to 429 of the family's 1533-position model. The record is from RNAcentral.